Molecule: ribosomal RNA, 904 nt
Filed under: uncultured bacterium
Lineage: Bacteria
Description: bacterial SSU rRNA
Rfam family: Bacterial small subunit ribosomal RNA
Source: RNAcentral
GAGUUUGAUCCUGGCUCAGGAUGAACGCUAGCGGCAGGCUUAACACAUGCAAGUCGAGGGGUAACAUUGUGCUUGCACAGAUGACGACCGGCGCACGGGUGCGUAACGCGUAUAGAAUCUACCUUUUACAGGGGGAUAGCCUUUAGAAAUGAAGAUUAAUAUCCCAUAGUAUUGAGACUUGGCAUCAAGACUUAAUUAAAGAUUUAUCGGUAAAAGAUGACUAUGCGUCCUAUUAGCUAGAUGGUAAGGUAAUGGCUUACCAUGGCAACGAUAGGUAGGGGUCCUGAGAGGGAGAUCCCCCACACUGGUACUGAGACACGGACCAGACCCCUACGGGAGGCAGCAGUGAGGAAUAUUGGGCAAUGGAGGAGACUCUGACCCAGCCAUGCCGCGUGCAGGAAGACUGCCCUAUGGGUUGUAAACUGCUUUUAUACAGGAAGAAACACUGGUAUGUAUACCAGCUUGACGGUACUGUAAGAAUAAGGACCGGCUAACUCCGUGCCAGCAGCCGCGGUAAUACGGAGGGUCCGAGCGUUAUCCGGAAUCAUUGGGUUUAAAGGGUCCGCAGGCGGUCAAUUAAGUCAGAGGUGAAAUCCCAUAGCUUAACUAUGGAACUGCCUUUGAUACUGGUUGACUUGAGUCAUAUGGAAGUAGAUAGAAUGUGUAGUGUAGCGGUGAAAUGCAUAGAUAUUACACAGAAUACCGAUUGCGAAGGCAGUCUACUACGUAUGUACUGACGCUCAUGGACGAAAGCGUGGGGAGCGAACAGGAUUAGAUACCCUGGUAGUCCACGCCGUAAACGAUGGAUACUAGUUGUUGGGCAUAAGCUCAGUGACUAAGCGAAAGUGAUAAGUAUCCCACCUGGGGAGUACGGUCGCAAGACUGAAACUCAAAGGAAUGACGG